UUGCUUCAGCAGCAUAUGAACUAAAACUGCAAUGAUCCAGAGAAGAUUAGCAUGACCCCUGUGUAAGGAUGACACAUACAUUCAUGAAGCAUCCCAUAUUUUU
RNAcentral lists this small nuclear RNA (103 nucleotides) under Phascolarctos cinereus (koala). Lineage: Eukaryota; Metazoa; Chordata; Mammalia; Diprotodontia; Phascolarctidae. The record is from RNAcentral.